AGUGAACGCUGGCGGUAGGCCUAACGCAUGCAAGUCGAACGGCAGCACAGGAGAGCUUGCUCUCUGGGUGGCGAGUGGCGGACGGGUGAGGAAUACAUCGGAAUCUACUCUGUCGUGGGGGAUAACGUAGGGAAACUUACGCUAAUACCGCACACGACCUACGGGUGAAAGCAGGGGACCUUCGGGCCUUGCGCGGUUGAAUGAGCCGAUGUCGGAUUAGCUAGUUGGCGGGGUAAAGGCCCUCCAAGGCGACGAUCCGUGGCUGGUCUGAGAGGAUGAUCAGCCACACUGGAACUGAGACACGGUCCAGACUCCUACGGGAGGCAGCAGUGGGGAAUAUUGGACAAUGGGCGCAAGCCUGAUCCAGCCAUACCGCGUGGGUGAAGAAGGCCUUCGGGUUGUAAAGCCCUUUUGUUGGGAAAGAAAUCCAGCUGGCUAAUACCCGGUUGGGAUGACGGUACCCAAGAAUAAGCACCGGCUAACUUCGUGCCAGCCGCCGCCGUAA
RNAcentral lists this ribosomal RNA (505 nucleotides) under uncultured bacterium. RNAcentral describes it as "partial 16S ribosomal RNA". It matches the Rfam family "Bacterial small subunit ribosomal RNA", at positions 29 to 523 of the family's 1533-position model. The record is from RNAcentral.